This 253-nucleotide unclassified non-coding RNA is filed under the name uncultured bacterium. Its description in RNAcentral is "contains 16S-23S intergenic spacer region". It matches the Rfam family "Bacterial small subunit ribosomal RNA", at positions 524 to 776 of the family's 1533-position model. The record is from RNAcentral.
AACGUAGGUGGCAAGCGUUAUCCGGAUUUACUGGGCGUAAAGGGCUCGCGGGCGGCUAGUCAGGUCGGUUGUGAAAUCUCCCGGCUCAACUGGGAGGGUGCGACCGAAACCGAUUAGCUUGAAGGCCAGAGAGGGACAGGGAAUUCCCGGUGUAGUGGUAAAAUGCGUUGAUAUCGGGAGGAACACCAGUGGCGAAGGCGCUGUCCUGGCUGGUGCUUGACGCUUAGGAGCGAAAGCGUGGGGAGCGAACGGG